AACGUAGGAGACGAGCGUUAUCCGGAUUUACUGGGCGUAAAGCGCGUGUAGGAGGCGCUACAAGUUGGAUGUGAAAGCUCCCGGCUUAACUGGGAGAGGUCGUUCAAGACUGUAGUGCUAGAGUGAGGCAGAGGUAGAUGGAACUCCGGGAGUAGUGGUGAAAUGCGUAGAUAUCCGGAAGAACACCAGAGGCGAAAGCGAUCUACUGGGCCUAAACUGACACUGAGACGCGAAAGCCAGGGUAGCAAAC
RNAcentral lists this ribosomal RNA (250 nucleotides) under uncultured bacterium. RNAcentral describes it as "partial 16S ribosomal RNA". It matches the Rfam family "Bacterial small subunit ribosomal RNA", at positions 524 to 773 of the family's 1533-position model. The record is from RNAcentral.